This 705-nucleotide ribosomal RNA is filed under the name Phaeobacter sp. RNAcentral's name for it is "bacterial SSU rRNA". It matches the Rfam family "Bacterial small subunit ribosomal RNA", at positions 43 to 793 of the family's 1533-position model. Lineage: Bacteria; Pseudomonadati; Pseudomonadota; Alphaproteobacteria; Rhodobacterales; Roseobacteraceae. The record is from RNAcentral.
CAGGGAGCUUACCAUGCAAGUCGAGCGCACUCUUCGGAGUGAGCGGCGGACGGGUUAGUAACGCGUGGGAACGUGCCCUUCUCUAAGGAAUAGCCACUGGAAACGGUGAGUAAUACCUUAUACGCCCUUCGGGGGAAAGAUUUAUCGGAGAAGGAUCGGCCCGCGUUAGAUUAGAUAGUUGGUGGGGUAAUGGCCUACCAAGUCUACGAUCUAUAGCUGGUUUUAGAGGAUGAUCAGCAACACUGGGACUGAGACACGGCCCAGACUCCUACGGGAGGCAGCAGUGGGGAAUCUUGGACAAUGGGCGCAAGCCUGAUCCAGCCAUGCCGCGUGAGUGAUGAAGGCCUUAGGGUCGUAAAGCUCUUUCGCCAGAGAUGAUAAUGACAGUAUCUGGUAAAGAAACCCCGGCUAACUCCGUGCCAGCAGCCGCGGUAAUACGGAGGGGGUUAGCGUUGUUCGGAAUUACUGGGCGUAAAGCGCACGUAGGCGGAUCAGAAAGUAUAGGGUGAAAUCCCAGGGCUCAACCCUGGAACUGCCUUGUAAACUCCUGGUCUUGAGUUCGAGAGAGGUGAGUGGAAUUCCGAGUGUAGAGGUGAAAUUCGUAGAUAUUCGGAGGAACACCAGUGGCGAAGGCGGCUCACUGGCUCGAUACUGACGCUGAGGUGCGAAAGUGUGGGGAGCAAACAGGAUUAGAUACCCUGGUAG